Molecule: ribosomal RNA, 464 nt
Filed under: Vreelandella stevensii
Lineage: Bacteria; Pseudomonadati; Pseudomonadota; Gammaproteobacteria; Oceanospirillales; Halomonadaceae
Description: partial 16S ribosomal RNA
Rfam family: Bacterial small subunit ribosomal RNA
Source: RNAcentral
CCUACGGGGUGCAGCAGUGGGGAAUAUUGGACAAUGGGCGAAAGCCUGAUCCAGCCAUGCCGCGUGUGUGAAGAAGGCCUUCGGGUUGUAAAGCACUUUCAGUGGGGAAGAAAGCCUUGGGGCUAAUACCCUCGAGGAAGGACAUCACCCACAGAAGAAGCACCGGCUAACUCCGUGCCAGCAGCCGCGGUAAUACGGAGGGUGCGAGCGUUAAUCGGAAUUACUGGGCGUAAAGCGCGCGUAGGCGGUCUGAUAAGCCGGUUGUGAAAGCCCCGGGCUCAACCUGGGAACGGCAUCCGGAACUGUCAGGCUAGAGUGCAGGAGAGGAAGGUAGAAUUCCCGGUGUAGCGGUGAAAUGCGUAGAGAUCGGGAGGAAUACCAGUGGCGAAGGCGGCCUUCUGGACUGACACUGACGCUGAGGUGCGAAAGCGUGGGUAGCAAACAGGAUUAGAUACCUGGUAGUC